CGGCUGCACCACGCUGAAACACCGGUUCCUGUACGAUCACCGAAGUUAAGCAAACUCAAGCUUGGUCACUACCUAGAUGGGUGACCGCUUGGGAAUACCAGACGC
Acanthosepion pharaonis is the source of this 105-nucleotide non-coding RNA. The record is from the annotation of a GenBank genome assembly. Lineage: Eukaryota; Metazoa; Mollusca; Cephalopoda; Sepiida; Sepiidae.